RNAcentral lists this microRNA precursor (69 nucleotides) under Notamacropus eugenii (tammar wallaby). RNAcentral's name for it is "miRNA (ENSMEUG00000017178.1)". Lineage: Eukaryota; Metazoa; Chordata; Mammalia; Diprotodontia; Macropodidae. The record is from RNAcentral.
AGACUGACAACUGGAAUAUACCUUAGAGGUCAUCCAUAGUUGUCAGUCUCAAGAUCCAAUAAAAGCAUG